GACGAACGCUGGCGGCGUGCCUAACACAUGCAAGUCGAACGGGGUUUAGAGAAUGAGACCUUCGGGUGGAUUUCUCGAAGACCUAGUGGCGGACGGGUGAGUGACGCGUGAGUAACCUGCCGAGAAGAGGGGGACAACACACCGAAAGGUGUGCUAAUACCGCAUAUUGUCAUUUAUUCGCAUGGAUUUAUGAUGAAAGAUUUAUCGCUUCUUGAUGGACUCGCGUCUGAUUAGAUAGUUGGUGAGGUAACGGCUCACCAAGUCGACGAUCAGUAGCCGGACUGAGAGGUUGAACGGCCACAUUGGGACUGAGACACGGCCCAGACUCCUACGGGAGGCAGCAGUGGGGAAUAUUGCGCAAUGGGGGCGAACCCUGACGCAGCAACGCCGCGUGAAGGAAGAAGGUCUUCGGAUUGUAAACUUUUGUCUUUGGUGAAGAUAGUGACGGUAGCCAAGGAGGAAGCCACGGCUAACUACGUGCCAGCAGCCGCGGU
RNAcentral lists this ribosomal RNA (494 nucleotides) under uncultured bacterium. RNAcentral's name for it is "bacterial SSU rRNA". It matches the Rfam family "Bacterial small subunit ribosomal RNA", at positions 28 to 521 of the family's 1533-position model. The record is from RNAcentral.